AACCUGCGGAGGGAUCAUUACUGAGUGAGGGCUCACGCCCGACCUCCAACCCUUUGUGAACCAAACUUGUUGCUUCGGGGGCGACCCUGCCGACGACUCCGUCGCCGGGCGCCCCCGGAGGUCUUCUAAACACUGCAUCUUUGCGUCGGAGUUUAAAACAAAUUAAACAAAACUUUCAACAACGGAUCUCUUGGUUCUGGCAUCGAUGAAGAACGCAGCGAAAUGCGAUAAGUAAUGUGAAUUGCAGAAUUCAGUGAAUCAUCGAAUCUUUGAACGCACAUUGCGCCCUUUGGUAUUCCGAAGGGCAUGCCUGUUCGAGCGUCAUUUCACCACUCAAGCCUGGCUUGGUAUUGGGCGUCGCGGUGUUUCCGCGCGCCUUAAAGUCUUCCGGCUGAGCUGUCCGUCUCUAAGCGUUGUGGAUUUUUCAAUUCGCUUCGGAGUGCGGGCGGCCGCGGCCGUUAAAUCUUUAUUCAAAGGUUGACCUCGGAUCAGGUAGGGAUA
This 501-nucleotide ribosomal RNA is filed under the name Pseudocercospora acericola. RNAcentral describes it as "eukaryotic LSU rRNA". The stretch from base 171 to 324 matches the Rfam family "5.8S ribosomal RNA". Lineage: Eukaryota; Fungi; Ascomycota; Dothideomycetes; Mycosphaerellales; Mycosphaerellaceae. The record is from RNAcentral.